CAGGCAGUUGGAACUCUGAGGGUUUGCAGCGGGGAGUGACUGAUGGGUGACAGGGCUGAAAUCAUCCUUAAGUUGGAGGAAGAGAGAGGGCACGCUGGCCCAUUGUGCAAAGGGAGGUGAACUCACAUGGGAGUUGGUGGAGGAGAAAGCUGGGAGGAACCGUCCUGCCUGCGGUCCAGAGGUGCAAGGAGAGAAGCCAGAUCAACUAGCAGUGAAAGCGAGUUCCAGUUCCUCCAUGCCCUCGCCAACACUUUCAGCAACUUUAAAAGGUCUCUAUGAAGUUCCCCACUGAAGUAGCUCCCUCAGCUUGCGGUCUCCCCACCACUCAACCGGUGUGAUCACCCUCCCCUUUGCUGCCAUCAAACACAGCCA
This 372-nucleotide long non-coding RNA is filed under the name Pan troglodytes (chimpanzee). RNAcentral describes it as "long non-coding RNA NONPTRT016985". The record is from RNAcentral. Lineage: Eukaryota; Metazoa; Chordata; Mammalia; Primates; Hominidae.